RNAcentral lists this non-coding RNA (21 nucleotides) under Caenorhabditis elegans. The record is from RNAcentral. Lineage: Eukaryota; Metazoa; Nematoda; Chromadorea; Rhabditida; Rhabditidae.
UGAGAAAAAAAAUGUUGCUGG